AAUUACUGAAAAUAUAGCGGUCUUAAUGGUACCUAACUGCUAUAAUUAUAUUUCCUCUGUUUGAUAAUCUGAAGCAGAUAAUUAUAUUUUAUGAAUUUUAUCACUUUUCAGAUAGAACCGUCGCAUUACCACAGACUACGCAUGCGACAAUCUUAAGUGAUUUUAUUAAUCAUUUAAAUAUUUUAUCUCUAAAUAAAUAAAUAAAUAAAUUGAUUUAUCUUAUAUUUAUAUAUUUUUUUAAUAAUUUAUAAACUUAUUAGUCGACACACUUUAAAAUUUAUUAAAAUAUUUAACUUUUAAUAGAAACUCAAAAUAUAAAAUAUUUAUUACGAUUCUCUCUACGUUUUUCAUCAAAUUAAAUAACUAUAUUUAAUUAAAAUUCAAUUUUAAUUUUUAUAUUUUUAAUGAAAAUGUUUUAAAAAAAUUUAAGGGGCCAUGCUCUUUUAUGAGUAUUUAUUUAUUUAUAAAUGUACUUAUUUAUAUUAUAAAUCUAUAUACAUGUAUAUAUUUAUUUUUUUUUAAUUAGUGGGUGAUUUGAUUCUUCACCGUUCACUAUAGUUGUAACUACAAACAAUUUAAUUACUUUUUUUUUUUUGAGAGAUAGGUAGCACGCUACCCGCUUCGUUUAUUUCAUUUAAAAAUAAACUUAGCUAGAAAUAUUAAUCAACUAGGAUUCGAACUUGGGUCUCGGGUACCAACCACCAAGCCUUUUGCCACUUGCUCUAGGGAUAGUCGGUACAAUUUAAUUACAUUAGUUGGGUGUUUUUGUAUAGUUUCAACUGUAAAAAUCAGUCUCGACUACACCACAACAAACAUAAAAUUUGAGUCUUUAUGCGGCUCCAACUGUAUUGCAACUCCAACUACAUCCAACAAAACCGUCCGUUUAGGGCCUGUUUGUUUCAACGUAAGUAGACUUGGGGUGAAAGUGGACUUUGGGUUGAAGUGGAGUUCGAGUGAAAAUUAAUUCACUUCCACUAUUUGUUGCUAACUGUGAAAGUGCAGUUCUGCGAGUUCUAUUAUUUGUUUGGUACGAAGUAGAUCACGUAAAAAGUGUAGCUCUUCACCACCGAUAUACUUACCUCCGAAGUGAUAUAUCAUUGUCUAUUUUGUAACUUAGUGAAUAAUAAAUUAUAAUAAAUAAAAAUUAAUAUAAUUAUAUAUGUAUAUAAUUAUAUAUAUGUAUAAUUAUAAAAU
RNAcentral lists this long non-coding RNA (1194 nucleotides) under Ananas comosus (pineapple). RNAcentral's name for it is "long non-coding RNA (ACOM_LNC031842)". Lineage: Eukaryota; Viridiplantae; Streptophyta; Magnoliopsida; Poales; Bromeliaceae. The record is from RNAcentral.